RNAcentral lists this ribosomal RNA (439 nucleotides) under uncultured bacterium. RNAcentral's name for it is "partial 16S ribosomal RNA". It matches the Rfam family "Bacterial small subunit ribosomal RNA", at positions 339 to 795 of the family's 1533-position model. The record is from RNAcentral.
CUACGGGGGGCUGCAGUGAGGAAUAUUGCACAAUGGGGGGAACCCUGAUGUAGCAACGCCGCGUGGAGGAUGACGCAUUUCGGUGUGUAAACUCCUUUUAUAUGUCAAGAAAAUGACGGUAGCAUAUGAAUAAGCACCGGCUAACUCCGUGCCAGCAGCCGCGGUAAUACGGAGGGUGCAAGCGUUACUCGGAAACACUGGGCGUAAAGGACGCGUAGGCGGGUUGGAAAGUCAGGUGUGAAAUCCUACAGCUUAACUGUAGAACUGCACUUGAAACUUCUAAUCUAGAGUAUGGGAGGGGGAGAUGGAAUUAGUGGUGUAGGGGUAAAAUCCGUAGAUAUCACUAGGAAUACCUAAAGCGAAGGCGAUCUCCUGGAACAUUACUGACGCUAAGGCGUGAAAGCGUGGGGAGCAAACAGGAUUAGAUACCCCCGUAGUC